GAUUAACGCUGGCGGCGUGCAUAACACAUGCAAGUCGAACGAUGAAACUUAGUAGACUUCUUCGGAAAGACACUAAGCGGAUUAGUGGCGAACGGGUGAGUAACGCGUGAGUAACCUGCCUUACACAAGGGGAUAGCCUUUGUAAACGAAGAAUAAUACCCUAUAAAACUAUAAAAGCACAUGCUAUAAUGGUCAAAGUGAUAGCGGUGUAAGAUGGACUUGCGUCUGAUUAGCUAGUUGGUGAGAUAAAAGCUCACCAAGGCAACGAUCAGUAGCCGGCUUGAGAGAGUGUACGGCCACAUUGGGACUGGGACCCGGCCCAGACUCCAACGAGAGGCAGCAGUGGGGAAAUUUGCACAAUGGGGGAAACCCUGAUGCAGCGACGCCGCGUGAUUUAGCAGGCCUUCGGGUUGUAAAAAUCUUUUGUAUAGGAAGAAAAUGACAGUACUAUACGAAUAAGGUCCGGCUAAUUACGUG
RNAcentral lists this ribosomal RNA (477 nucleotides) under uncultured bacterium. RNAcentral describes it as "partial 16S ribosomal RNA". It matches the Rfam family "Bacterial small subunit ribosomal RNA", at positions 28 to 507 of the family's 1533-position model. The record is from RNAcentral.